GACGAAGGUGGCGAGCGUUACUCGGAAUUACUAGGCGUAAAGCGUGGGCAGGCGGUUCGGUAAGUCUGUUGUGAAAGCUCCCGGCUCAACUGGGAGAGGCCAAUGGAUACUGCCGGGCUUGAAUUGAGGAGGGGUCACUGGAAUUCCCGGUGUAGCGGUGAAAUGCGUAGAUAUCGGGAGGAACAUCUAUGGCGAAAGCAGGUGACUGGACUCAUAUUGACGCUCAUCCACGAAAGCUGGGGGAUCAAAC
RNAcentral lists this ribosomal RNA (250 nucleotides) under uncultured bacterium. Its description in RNAcentral is "partial 16S ribosomal RNA". It matches the Rfam family "Bacterial small subunit ribosomal RNA", at positions 524 to 773 of the family's 1533-position model. The record is from RNAcentral.